RNAcentral lists this ribosomal RNA (239 nucleotides) under uncultured bacterium. RNAcentral describes it as "partial 16S ribosomal RNA". It matches the Rfam family "Bacterial small subunit ribosomal RNA", at positions 524 to 761 of the family's 1533-position model. The record is from RNAcentral.
UACGAAGGGGGCUAGCGUUGCUCGGAAUCACUGGGCGUAAAGGGUGCGUAGGCGGGUCUUUUAAGUCAGGGGUGAAAUCCUGGAGCUCAACUCCAGAACUGCCUUUGAUACUGAAGAUCUUGAGUUCGGGAGAGGUGAGUGGAACUGCGAGUGUAGAGGUGAAAUUCGUAGAUAUUCGCAAGAACACCAGUGGCGAAGGCGACUCACUGGCCCGUUAUGACGCUGAGGCGACGAAAGCG